GUACAUUUUCGUGACGUCUCGAAAAGCGUUUGCAUGUGUGCACACGACGCGUUGCAGCUGCGGCAAGCCACGGAACACGUAGAGGCAAGGUCAGCGAGCACAGAAAAACAAAGGCUACGGCGGUAGCGAUCGCACGCGCGGAAACACGUCACGGUCCCCUGUUCCCCCAUCCCCCCAUCUCCCCCCCCCCCACACACACACUCCUGCCCGCCAUCUGUGCGGCAUAUACACAGAGGAAGCGAGCAAUCGCGCGCUGCGCGUCCGGCUUGUCGUGGAACGUCACGAGACAAGCGCACACACCACCACUACCGCUCGUCUCCUCACAUAUACGAGCACCACUCUUGAGCUCCCUCUUGAUCACCAGUCCACCACCGGUGCGGCAGUCCCGCUCAUACGACGUUUGGAGGGUGAACAACCUAGAUCUUAGACGUCGGCACCGCGUGAGGUUUGUCCUCCAGAUACCCAAUGUCGUACAGCGCGUAUCAAGUGGCGGGCCCUGCCGACCCGUUCCGUCCCACGCUGGAGAUGUGCUUCCGCGGGCAUCGUCAAGGUGUGUGCAGUGUCGGCUUCCAACCGGCGCUGUCGCCGUCUCCGCUCAUUCCCAAGGUCGUGUCCGGCGGUGCCGACGGCGCGGUCAUGUUGUGGGACGCAAAGGCCACCACCCGCACAAUGCGAUUCAUGGGGCAUCGCGGACCGGUGCUUGCUGUUGCCUGCAGCCCGCGCGCAAAUCUGCUGGCGAGCGGCGGCCAUGAUGGAUACGUGCGGCUCUGGAUCCCCAACACGCGACGGACAACGGCGACGUACGGCCUCCACGCCGAGUCGGCCGACGACCGCAACUCAUGCGGCUGGCGCGGUCACACCGGCGCUACCCGCGCCGUCGUCUUUGCCCAAGACGGCUCUGACUACCUCUACACCGCGGGCAAUGACAAGGCGGUGAAGUGCUGGGACCUCAAUUACGCCUCGAGCAGCCAGCACAUCGGCGUCGGCCCGGGCAACAAAUUCGUUGGCAGUUUCGCGGCACAAUCGUCAACGGGGCAGCACGGCACUGGGCACAUGAACUGGGUGCGCACGGUGGCUGUGCAGAGCGCCUACACAUCCUCUAGCUUCUUUCACUACAUCGCCAGCGGUGGUGACGAUCACGCCAUUUGCGUGUGGGACACGCGCACUCGCGCCCCAGUGCACGCUCUGUUUGACUGCAGCGCCAGCGUGCAUUCCCUGAGCUUUCACCCCGACGGCUACGUGUUGGCGAGCGGCGAUGCCAGCGGCGCCGUGAAUCUCUUUGACCUACGGCACACCUCAUCCUCGUCAUCCGCCGCCAACAGCUGGGGCGGUGCACCAGCGCAGCGGCGCUUCUCCAGCCUCCUUCAGCACUACAGAGGCGCGCACGCGGGCGGGGUGCAGUGCGUCGACUUUGCCCCCAACGGCGGCUGGCUCUUCUCGGCCGGCAACGACAGCACUGCGAAGCUGUGGGAUGUGAAGCAGGUGUACCUCUACUGCACCCUCCAAGGGCAUGAGGGGGGGCCCGUCAAGUCGUGCCACUUCUCGGAAGAUGGUCGCUGGCUUGCCACAGGCGGCGGUACUGACAAAACGGUCCUCGUAUGGCGCAGCGGCUUGGCUGAGAGAGCGGCAACGCGCGACUCGACUGCGGAGACCGCACUCACUACUGUUGGGAACAAGGACGCGGCACUGCCCGAGGUGAUUCCUCCACCCAAGGUGUCCUUCGGUGCAGAAGCCCCUGCAGUGCGGUUCUCCUCGCCGAUGGCGCCAGCCUCUCGCGACGUGGCCCGACGAUGCAAGCUGCGAGACGACUCGUUCCGUGUGCAGAAUGGUGUGGAACGCUCUCCAAGGACGUCGGCAUCUCAGGCGGUGAGCAGCGGUAUCACCAACGGUUGCAGAGGCGGCGGCAGCGACCCCCACGUGGGCAGCAGGGCCGCCGCUGGUGCGGCGAACGUCAGUGUCGGUGUCGCAGCUGCCGCAUCGCUGGGCCGCCCGCCUCUCUCUUCCCCAACGAGGAAGGAGCAGGCUGGCACGCCCUCCGCGUCCUCCUCGCGCGGUGUGGCGUACGCUGCCGAUGCGAAGGCGUGGAACCGCGACGAUGCGGAAAAAAGCUCCGUCGCCGCUCAUGAGCGCAGCUUUGAGAGAAGCGAGGAGCGACUCGACUACCUCGUCGCGUCGGUCGCCGGCAGCCCCGGUGAAGUGGGCAACGGCCACUCACGGCAGCAGCCAGUCGUUGAGGGCGAUACAACACGCGGCGGCGCGAACACCCUGCAUGAACAGGAAUCGCCGCUGGGCAGCGUAGAUAGCAGUGCUCGAAGCGCCGUUGUUGCGGCAGAAGAGCGAGAGCAGGAGGCGUUGGUGGCGCAGGAGCGCGCCUAUCAGCGGCUGCAGGAGGACCGCAUCACCCAACAGCGUCUCGCGAAUCUGGAAGAGGCGCUGGCGUCUCUGGCGGCGUACAUGCAAACCCAGUAUCUGCAGCAGGCAAAGGAGAUGCACGAGACGCGGGUGAAAAGUAGGGUGCAGGCCGACAAGUACGAUGCCGACCUAGAAGACCUGAAGCGCUUGAUGGCGCGGCUCGCUGCCCCUGCUGCCGACCAGGCUUCUGCGAAUGGCACAGCCUGAAUAUGUCAACGAAAGAGGGUGGGGCACAGGGGUGCAGGGGUGCGACUGCUCCCCUUCAACACCAUCGUGGGCAGCCGAUGUAGCUGCUUGCAUUUUUUUUGGCUUCGACAUCGGUAGCCGCUUGCCUUCGCUACGACGACGGCGACGCUUUUAUGCAUUUUAGGAGCUCGGCCUCUUCCAGAGCAGAGCUCAGUGUGCAAGGGCUCUUAGAUCAAGCACUCGAUCGUGCGUACGCGGCCUUGCGCAAGUGGGUCGCACGCCUUUGUGUUCCGCCCUCCCUCUUCCCUUUUCCCCUUACCCUUCGUCAUCCUCGACUCGGUGGGUUUGGCGUGGGCUCACAUGCGAACCCAUACGUUCUUUUUCCUCGGCUCGCGCUGCCUCCUCAGUGCGCUACUCGCGGCUCUCUGGCACCCCUGGUGCCAUUUUGUCAUGACCGUUUCAGCAGAAG
RNAcentral lists this unclassified non-coding RNA (3067 nucleotides) under Leishmania donovani. Its description in RNAcentral is "gene:LdHU3.34.0660(CDS-product:WD_domain_G-beta_r epeat_putative)". The record is from RNAcentral. Lineage: Eukaryota; Euglenozoa; Kinetoplastea; Trypanosomatida; Trypanosomatidae.